Long non-coding RNA from Amaranthus tricolor (Joseph's coat), 4093 nucleotides. RefSeq lists it as uncharacterized. NCBI's taxonomy places the organism in Eukaryota, Viridiplantae, Streptophyta, Magnoliopsida, Caryophyllales, Amaranthaceae. The transcript is spliced from 2 exons. The record is from RefSeq and is a predicted model, not a curated record.
UAGGUCUUUCAUGGCUCAAACUUUCUACAUUUCCCCUUGUCUUUUUAACCAAAUAGGAGAAACUCUUUCCCUUAUAAUUUCUCCUCUCACUCCCUUCUCAAAUUCUCUCUCAAAUAAUUAUACUCAUCAUGAUGUUCUCUGUUUUACCCUCCCAAAACCCCAUAAAAAUCACAAAACUUUCACUUUUUUUUUUUUUUUUUUUUCUGAUUCUCACAUUCAUUACCAAUAAUUCAUAAAAAUCAAAAAAAUAAAAGUAGGAAGCUUGAUUUUUGAGGGGAAGGUCGCCUGACUCGAAGGCUUAAUUCCCAAAUUUCUUGCUCAAAUCACUUUUUAAUUCAUUAAAUAUUAUAAAUUGCCUUCGGACCAGGCUUCAUUCCCCUCAAUUUGACCUUCCAAAUCAUUCAGAUCAUCAAAAUAAUCAACAAUUUCACUUUUUUCUGCUUCAAUUUCAGUUGGGUAUGAUCUAUUUUCUCCUUUUCUUCAUUUUUUUAGUAUAUGGUGCGCUAAGGAAAGGAUCGGACUGGUGCAAGGGAAGAGAGGAUCGUAUUAGAUCUUUUACGGGAAAACUGGUAUAUAGACCAACCGAUAUAAGACCUCGUUUUUUUAUUUCAGAUCUCUUAUUCCCAAUAUAAUUUCGUGAUAAUUUGAUGAUUUUUUUAAUUAUGAGUAUGUUCCAAACGAUUAUUAAAUUUCUUUUUCCCAAUUUAGUUUCAUGAUAAUUUGAUGGAAUAUUUAUAUUUUAAUUAUGGGUAUGUUACAAUAUUGAUAAAAUCUGAUUCUUUAUUUCAAAUCUCAUAUUCCCAAUUUAAUUUCAUGAUAAUUUGAUGAAAUUUUUAUUUUUUAAUUAUGGGUUUAUAGUGAUGAUUAAGGGUUUUGAUCUAUGUAGAAUGCAGAUUAGUGUAAUGAUGAAAAAGUUAAUUUUUUUGGGUGACAGAGUAGGUAAGUUUUUGAGAUAAAGGAUUCAUCAUUGCAAAUUUAAUUAAUUAAUUUAUUUAUAUUUUUGUGUUUUUAUUUAUAUUUGUAGAAUGUUUGAGAAUUUCAACGCUAGUUAUCAUAGUUACUUAUGAUUUGUCAGUCAUUUGACUCUUUGUUGUAAUCCCUAGUUUUCAUCAUCUUAUUCUCAUCAUGACUUCUUUGAAGCUUCUAAAAUUUAUGCCUCCUCUUCUAGGGUUUAUACUUUAUAUUUAUACCCUCUUUUUUUUUUUUUUUUUUCAUUUUCUUCCUAUUUUUUCUACCAUUUUUUUCCCAAAUUCAAUUUUUUAAUUGCUCGGAAAAUCAUGAAUUAGUUUAAUAGUUCUAACUCUCGUACAGAAAGAUUAAUUUCCUCUGCUUAUCUGUAGGGAUUAUCCUGAAUUCGGAAUCUAAAUUUAGCAAGAUCUAAUUGAAUUGUUAUUAUUGGUUUUUUUCAAUUUUUUUAUUUACAUAUUUAUUCACAAAUUUUAAAUCAUUCACAUGAACUACGUUUUAGAUCAUAAUAACCACAAGUGAGUUUUAAUUACAAAGAGGAAUAAUUUCUUUUUUAAAAAUAUUAAAAAUUAGCUCAUGUUCAAUUAAUGUUGGUAGGUGAAUAAAUAACAUACAAACAAAAAUAUUAUUUAAUAUGGUACAUAAUUUCUUCAGUGAAGAUUUUGCAGGCAACUAAAAUGGAGCUAGUCAGGUCAAAUGGAGGUUAUGAUAUGGUAUAAAAUUCUUUCAAAUUAACUGGAAUAAUAAGUUUUUUUCCUUUUUUUUUUUGUUUUUCUUUUUUUUUUUUUGUUUUUUUAGAUUUUUAAUAGCCCUAAAUUUAGAUUAAAAAAUAGAAAAAAUAAAUAAAAAUGGUCCCUUUUGGUAUGUUCUAUCUUGUGUUUGCUUAGAUUCCUUAUUCAGAAUAAUUUGUUUGGUUUGAAAGUUCUAUGGGGAUUGGAGAAUGAGAUUCAUCUUUUAAUAGGCCAAUUUGUCAUGAACUUGAGGCAUCUCUUUAGUUUGGCUUACACCGUCUCCGUCCGUUUGAGUUUUUACCUUUUAACUUAAUCAUGUGAGAGUUUUUAAUAUUAUAUGUAAAUUUAAAAUGACAGAGUAAGUUAACAGUUUUCUAAUGCAAAUUCAAAGUAAGAGACGAAAAAGUAAACAUAAAUUAUUGUGAGAGACCGUCUCUUUAAAAGACGCAUUAGAUAUAUGGGCUAAAUAGCCCAAUUAAUACAAAUUAAAGAGAAAAAAAAAAUAUAGACUUCUUGUUUUUAAGUCGUCUAUUUAAAAGAAAGAUGGUCUCUCACAAUAGUAGAUGAAUAGUAUAUGCUUGUUGAAUCUUUUUAUUCUUGUUUUCUUGUCUUUUUAUACCAUAGAAAGUCAAAUUUACAGAUAGAAAUUGAAUUACUUCUAAAUCUUUUUUUAUUUGUUGCAUUGUGAUUUGAGACCAAAAAAUACAUUUUUAUUGUAUAAAAUUGUGAUAUACUCUUAUAUACCACAUUUCGUUUUAUAAUUUCUGACAAUAAUAUUUUAUUAUUUCAAUGUCAAUAAGCAAUUUCCGCUUUAAAAGAAAAAUUACGCAAUAAAAUCGAGUUUGUCGAGAUAUAUAUAAACAAUCUAAAAUGUAGACAGCGUAGUACACCAAGUCCUGAACAUCCAUCAUGCCGGUCGCGUAAUAAGCAUGGCCACAAGCCGCAAUGUUUCAUUUGCCUCCAACAAACCAAGGAAUCAGCCGGAAUCCAAUCGUCGACAGCUUAAGGUCGUCUUAUAUGAGACCAUCUCACGGUGAGACAACCUCAAAACAAAAAGCCUAUAAGCUAAAAGUUUCUAUUAUUGGAGUAUUUAACCCAAGUAUGAGACAUGUCUCACGGUGAGACCGUCUCAUUUCAGAAUUUGUGAUUAACAUAUUAAAAUAAUGUUGCCACGAAAUUAUACAUCUUGUUGUGAAAAAAGAAAAAAAUGAAUUCAAUAAAUAAAAGAAUCACAAAGUAAUUUAUCUUUUCGUGGAUCCGAUAAAAAACAUUAUGAGUAUAGUAAUGGAAAAUUUUUAACGAUUCCGAUAAGGGCCGCUAUUUCUAAUCUCGCCCCUAGGCCACCGAAAAUUCAGAAACGGGCCUGUAACAAGUAUUACUAUUUAGUUAUUUACCGUAAAACUUCCGUCACACAAGAGCCCUUUUAAGCUAAAAGUAUGGAUGCAACAGUAACCCUCCUCAAACCUGGUGCGAAAUAUUUCAUUUGAAUUUGAGGGUAGUUGAAAAUCAAAUCUGUGACCUGUUGUCAUGUUGACUCUAAUACCUUGUCAAGGAACCAACUUAAUCAAAAGUUUAAGAUGAUGGUUAAGGCUUCAGAAUAUAUUAUAUAUUCUAAUAGGUAAUAUAUAUCCCACAAUAGUUAUUUUUGUCAUAUUUUUUAUUUCCAACCAAAUAUAUGGGGUAAAUUUAGUGAGAUGGAUGGAUUAGUAAAGUGAAUUUUGAUAGUGUGAACAAUGCAAGGACAUGUACGACAGCGUAAACAUCGGGUGUUGGGUGGCAAUGGCAUCUCAGAUCUUACUUCUCAUCUCAGUGCUGACUGCUGAAAAGAUGACAACUUUGUUCAAUCUUUACCUUUUAUUGCUGAUUUCAGUGUUUUCUAAUUUCUAUUUUCUCCUGUGGGUAACUUCAUUUUUACCCCUUUGUAUUUAAGUUAUUCCCAACACAAUUAGAAUAUGGGGUGUUUAGUAAAUUAGUUUAUCGAGUAAUUUUUAGCUUAUUUUGAUAUAAAUAAAGAGUAGGGUGGUCAAACCAAUUAAUAUUAGUGUUGAUGAAUUAGCUGGUUGAAACAGAUUAUUGAUACGAAUAAAUUAUUUUUAAACAAGCUUCUUAUAGCAGCAAGUUCAAAAUCAGUUGUUCAAACCGGUUAAUAAAAUCAGCUGGUCAAAUCAGCCACUAUAAUCAACUAUCAGUUACCAGCUAUCAACAAUUUGUCAAACAUCCUCCAUGUUUAGCGGGUGAUAAAUAUUGGGGAGCCUUAAAAAAAUGGUGUGUUGGUUAUUUGUUUAGUUCUAAGUGACAUUAAAAUAAUGAAUUAGAUUAAGGUUAUGUUUAGUUAAAUUGAUUAUUAGUGAUUUAAAUGAUUUUUAUUGGUUGAAAUUGAUUUUUACUGUUCACAA